UACGAAGGGGGCUAGCGUUGCUCGGAAUCACUGGGCGUAAAGCGCACGUAGGCGGAUUGUUAAGUCGGGGGUGAAAUCCUGGAGCUCAACUCCAGAACUGCCUUCGAUACUGACGAUCUCGAGUCCGGGAGAGGUGAGUGGAACUUCGAGUGUAGAGGUGAAAUUCGUAGAUAUUCGGAAGAACACCAGUGGCGAAGGCGGCUCACUGGCCCGGUACUGACGCUGAGGUGCGAAAGCGUGGGGAGCAAACAGG
This 253-nucleotide ribosomal RNA is filed under the name uncultured bacterium. RNAcentral's name for it is "partial 16S ribosomal RNA". It matches the Rfam family "Bacterial small subunit ribosomal RNA", at positions 524 to 776 of the family's 1533-position model. The record is from RNAcentral.